UUAAAUAAAUCACAGGUGAAUAAUGAUCAUUUGAGAAUCAGAUCGAACAUCCAUAGGUUAGUGCCAUUGAACCCAUAAAUCGAAGCAAAAUCAAGAAGAAAAAAAAAUGACUACUAACAAGGACUAAAAUUUCUAAUUUAAACCAGUCGAAUAAAGAGGAUUCCAAAUAAUAGACCAGAUCACUAUGAAAUCUCAGAAAUCCUAAUGUAAAUCCAAAAAAAAAAUUUCGAAUCUAGAUCGAACACCAACCCCA
This 253-nucleotide long non-coding RNA is filed under the name Elaeis guineensis (African oil palm). RNAcentral describes it as "long non-coding RNA (EGUI_LNC000373)". The record is from RNAcentral. Lineage: Eukaryota; Viridiplantae; Streptophyta; Magnoliopsida; Arecales; Arecaceae.